Molecule: long non-coding RNA, 1352 nt
Organism: Octopus sinensis (East Asian common octopus)
Lineage: Eukaryota; Metazoa; Mollusca; Cephalopoda; Octopoda; Octopodidae
Exons: 2
Source: RefSeq, a predicted model, not a curated record
UUAUAUAAACCGGAUGUAUAUCCCGAGUAUAUAAAGCGUGUGAGUACGUGUUUCGGUCAUUUGCGGAGCAGUUUGUUGGCUGUUGCUGAGAUUUAAUGCAUGAUGGCAGCUCCUAGUGUAUUUUGGUAGAAUUGAAGUACAAGUAGUAAUGAAAUUACUCUUUCUGCAAGGCAAACAACCAGCAGAAAUCCAUGGCCAGAUGAAGAACGUCUUGAAAUAUGGCUGUCCAUCUUACUCCACAAUAAAAAUCAGGCUAACUGAUCAUUUUGGCAGGACAGCCAACUUCUGCAACUACAGAGGACGUUGUGCAUGUCAUGAUUCUCGAGGACUACUGGGUUUCAGCUGAGACUCCGAGGAUUUCCCGCGAAAGAGUUAAUCACAUCAUCCACAACAUUCUGGGCAUAGGAAAGCUUUCUGCAAGGUGGGUGCCUGAAUGCAGAUCUCAAGUACAUCAGGAUGACAGCAUCAAAGGUGAUUUUGGACCAGUCUGCAGCAGGAGAGGUUGAUUUUAUGGCUUGUUUAGUCACCUUGGAUGAAACUAGGCUUCAUCCCCGGACCAAGCAGCAAUCAAUGGAGUGGAGUCACGGUUGUUCACCACAUCCCAAGAAGUUUUGAACCCGGAAAAUGACUAGAAAGGUUCUGGCUUCAGUGUUCUGGGAGUACCCCUUUUAUAAUACCUGCCAAAGGGUGCACCAUCAAUGCAGAAUACUACAUGUCUCUGUUGGAUGAAGCUUUGAUGCCAUGGAAAGCUGACCCAUAAUGCCCUGCUUUUGUAGGGUAGUUGUACCAACACAUGAAACCCUACAGAAACUACACAGCUUUGGCUUUGAAUUGGUAGACCUCCGACCUUACUCUUCUGAUUAUCACCUCUUUUCACAACUGAAGAAACGCCUCCACAAUGAAAUUUCACUCUGAGGGGUGAUUGUUGCUACAACCUCCCAAGUUCUUUUUUCAGGGUUUAGAGAAGCUGAGGAACUGCUGUGAUAGGUGUGUGAAUCUGAGAGAUGAAUACGUUGAAUAAAAUCACUAGCAGCUAAGCCUGGUCUGUUUGGAUGAUGUGGCUAUGAUAGAUUAACUAAUUCUCCUGUAUUUUCUUUUAUCUAGAGCCAGGGAAUUUUAAGUAUCCCUUUGUAUAUAAUGUUACCAUUACCAAUAGUUUCUGAUAUCAUGAUGAACACAGGUCGGAACACUGUGCUAUUUUCAGCAGUGAUGACAGCUCUAUUCAUUCACUUCUGAAUAUCAGAAACUAAUUGUGUGAUGUCUUGUUCUUUGAUUCCCCUUCACUUAUUCAUUUCUUAAAUCAAUGCUUUGUAAUCAUGAAUUUCAAUAAAAUGCUUUUAUUAAAAAAGAAA